This 253-nucleotide ribosomal RNA is filed under the name uncultured bacterium. Its description in RNAcentral is "partial 16S ribosomal RNA". It matches the Rfam family "Bacterial small subunit ribosomal RNA", at positions 524 to 776 of the family's 1533-position model. The record is from RNAcentral.
UACGUAGGGGGCAAACGUUACUCGGAAUUACUGGGCGUAAAGGGUGUGUAGGCGGCUGAGCAAGUCAAAGAUGAAAUCCCGAGGCUCAACUUCGGAAUGGUCUUUGAAACUGCUCGGCUUGAGGGUAGUCGAGGAGAAUGGAAUUCCCGGUGGAGCGGUGAAAUGCGUAGAUAUCGGGAGGAACACCCGAGGCGUAAGCGAUUCUCUAUCCUACUCCUGACGCUGAAACACGAAAGCUAGGGGAGCGAACGGG